Molecule: ribosomal RNA, 115 nt
Filed under: Dickeya chrysanthemi Ech1591
Lineage: Bacteria; Pseudomonadati; Pseudomonadota; Gammaproteobacteria; Enterobacterales; Pectobacteriaceae
Source: RNAcentral
UGGCGGCGAUAGCGCGGUGGUCCCACCUGACCCCAUGCCGAACUCAGAAGUGAAACGCCGUAGCGCCGAUGGUAGUGUGGGGUCUCCCCAUGCGAGAGUAGGGAACUGCCAGAUA